GUAGGGAAUUUUCGUCAAUGGGGGGAACCCUGAACGAGCAAUGCCGCGUGAGUGAAGAAGGUCUUCGGAUCGUAAAGCUCUGUUGUAAGAGAAAAAGGGCGCAUAUAGGAAAUGAUAUGCGAUUGAUGGUAUCUUACCAGAAAGCCACGGCUAACUACGUGCCAGCAGCCGCGGUAAUACGUAGGUGGCGAGCGUUAUCCGGAAUGAUUGGGCGUAAAGGGUGCGUAGGUGGCACGAUAAGUCUGGAGUAAAAGGGAGCGGCUCAACCGCUGUUGGCUCUGGAAACUGUCGAGCUAGAGAGCAGGAGAGGGCGAUGGAAUUCCAUGUGUAGCGGUAAAAUGCGUAGAUAUAUGGAGGAACACCGGUGGCGAAGGCGGUCGCCUGGCCUGCAACUGACACUGAAGCACGAAAGCGUGGGGAGCAAAUAGGA
Molecule: ribosomal RNA, 430 nt
Filed under: uncultured bacterium
Lineage: Bacteria
Description: bacterial SSU rRNA
Rfam family: Bacterial small subunit ribosomal RNA
Source: RNAcentral